RNAcentral lists this microRNA precursor (131 nucleotides) under Helianthus annuus (common sunflower). Lineage: Eukaryota; Viridiplantae; Streptophyta; Magnoliopsida; Asterales; Asteraceae. The record is from RNAcentral.
AUGAUAAGAACAUGUCAAGAAGCCAAGAUGAUUGCCAGAUACCAAUUUAAAGAUCCGAGAGCGAAAGAAAAAGAUGACUUAUCAUGCAGCUGGCAAGUCAUCCUUGACUACCAAACAAAAUGUUCUUAUCA